GCGCGAAAACUCUACACUGCACGAAAGUGUGAUAGGGGAAUCCAAAGUGCUUACACGAUUAAGUGUAGGCUUUUGCCAAAGACAAAUCCUUUGGCGAAUAAGUGGUGGGCAAGACCGGUGCCAGCCGCCGCGGUAACACCGGCGCCACAAGUGGCAACCGUAAUUAUUGGGCCUAAAGCGUUCGUAGCCGGUUUAGUAAAUCUUCUGUGAAAUCGUCUGGCUCAACCAAACGACGUGCAGGAGACACUGCUAGACUUGAGAUCGGGAGGAGCUAGGGGUAUUCUUGGGGGAGCGGUAAAAUGUUGUAAUCCCUUGAAGACCACCUGUGGCGAAGGCGCCUAGCCAGAACGAAUCUGACGGUGAGGGACGAAAGCUAGGGGAGCGAUCCGG
RNAcentral lists this ribosomal RNA (390 nucleotides) under uncultured bacterium. RNAcentral's name for it is "bacterial SSU rRNA". It matches the Rfam family "Archaeal small subunit ribosomal RNA", at positions 339 to 727 of the family's 1478-position model. The record is from RNAcentral.